CCUACGGGAGGCAGCAGUGAGGAAUAUUGGUCAAUGGACGCGAGUCUGAACCAGCCAAGCCGCGUGAAGGAUGACUGCCCUAUGAGUUGUAAACUUCUUUUAUACGAGAAUAAACUGAGACACGUGUGUCUGUUUGUAUGUAUCUUAUGAAUAAGGAUCGGCUAACUCCGUGCCAGCAGCCGCGGUAAUACGGAGGAUCCGAGCGUUAUCCGGAUUUAUUGGGUUUAAAGGGAGCGUAGGUGGGUGGUUAAGUCAGUGGUGAAAUUUUGAGGCUCAACCUUAGAAUUGCAAUUGAUACUGUCAGGCUUGAGUACAGUUGAGGUAGGCGGAAUUCGUGGUGUAGCGGUGAAAUGCUUAGAGAUCACGAAGAACUCCGAUUGCGAAGGCAGCUUACUAAACUGCUACUGACGUUGAGGCUCGAAAGUGUGGGUAGCAAACAGGAUUAGAUACCCGGGUAGUC
This 460-nucleotide ribosomal RNA is filed under the name uncultured bacterium. RNAcentral describes it as "partial 16S ribosomal RNA". It matches the Rfam family "Bacterial small subunit ribosomal RNA", at positions 338 to 795 of the family's 1533-position model. The record is from RNAcentral.